GAGGAGGGGCAGGGUCAAGGGUCAAAGGUCAGGGUGGCCAAGACCUUGACCUUGACCUUUGACCCCAGCCGGCCAAG
RNAcentral lists this microRNA precursor (77 nucleotides) under Columba livia (rock pigeon). RNAcentral describes it as "microRNA cli-mir-8993 precursor". The record is from miRBase by way of RNAcentral. Lineage: Eukaryota; Metazoa; Chordata; Aves; Columbiformes; Columbidae.